Molecule: long non-coding RNA, 569 nt
Organism: Amphimedon queenslandica
Lineage: Eukaryota; Metazoa; Porifera; Demospongiae; Haplosclerida; Niphatidae
Exons: 3
Source: RefSeq, a predicted model, not a curated record
AAUAUAUAGAACAUGACCCCGAGUGGUGUAUCAGAUAUACACGAAAAUGAUAUUCAUAAUCCCGAGGGCGUAGCCCGAGGGAUUAUGAAUAUCAUUUGAGUGUAUAUCUGAUACACCCACGAGGGAAAGGUCAUGUUCUAUAUGGCUUGUAUAAUGGGAAGCCAUAAGAAGGAAAGGUUAUGCGCAUGCUCAGUAGCACGUGGUACAACUGUAAGGCACCAAUAUGGCUGAAGGAGAAGGAGAACCAUAAGAAAAAGCAGCAAAAGAAGCGAAUGAAAAUGUGUAAAGCGCUCAAUAAAGGUUUUGAACCCUUGGACACUAAUAGAGAUAUGAAGAGGUACAGAAUUCAUCUCAAAUUGACUAGUAGGAGCUACACUUGUUGAUGAAAGGUCGUCGCGAUGACUGAAAUCAUUCUGGAAUAUAAUGGGCAUGCAAUUCAAUCAAUCUUUGCAGAGUAAAGACUACUAUUAUAUCAGUUUAUUUACAAAAUCUUUUAUUUAUAACAUAUUUUGCUGUUUUACAAAUGACCUUUUGUUAUCAUUGUUAUCACAACUGAACAAGCCAAGCAU